UACGUAGGGUGCAAGCGUUAUCCGGAAUUAUUGGGCGUAAAGAGCUCGUAGGCGGUUUGUCGCGUCUGCUGUGAAAACUGGAGGCUCAACCUCCAGCCUGCAGUGGGUACGGGCAAACUAGAGUGCGGUAGGGGAGAUUGGAAUUCCUGGUGUAGCGGUGAAAUGCGCAGAUAUCAGGAGGAACACCGAUGGCGAAGGCAGAUCUCUGGGCCGUAACUGACGCUGAGGAGCGAAAGCAUGGGGAGCGAACAGG
This 253-nucleotide ribosomal RNA is filed under the name uncultured bacterium. RNAcentral's name for it is "partial 16S ribosomal RNA". It matches the Rfam family "Bacterial small subunit ribosomal RNA", at positions 524 to 776 of the family's 1533-position model. The record is from RNAcentral.